Molecule: ribosomal RNA, 689 nt
Filed under: Nocardiopsis sp. YIM 65396
Lineage: Bacteria; Bacillati; Actinomycetota; Actinomycetes; Streptosporangiales; Nocardiopsidaceae
Description: bacterial SSU rRNA
Rfam family: Bacterial small subunit ribosomal RNA
Source: RNAcentral
UGCAAGUCGAGCGGUAAGGCCCUUCGGGGUACACGAGCGGCGAACGGGUGAGUAACACGUGAGCAACCUGCCCCUGACUCCGGGAUAAGCGGUGGAAACGCCGUCUAAUACCGGAUACGACCCUCCACCUCAUGGUGGUGGGUGGAAAGUUUUUCGGUCGGGGAUGGGCUCGCGGCCUAUCAGCUUGUUGGUGGGGUAACGGCCUACCAAGGCGAUUACGGGUAGCCGGCCUGAGAGGGCGACCGGCCACACUGGGACUGAGACACGGCCCAGACUCCUGCGGGAGGCAGCAGUGGGGAAUAUUGCGCAAUGGGCGAAAGCCUGACGCAGCGACGCCGCGUGGGGGAUGACGGCCUUCGGGUUGUAAACCUCUUUUACCACUCACGCAGGCUCCACGUUUUCGUGGGGUUGACGGUAGGUGGGGAAUAAGGACCGGCUAACUACGUGCCAGCAGCCGCGGUAAUACGUAGGGUCCGAGCGUUGUCCGGAAUUAUUGGGCGUAAAGAGCUCGUAGGCGGCGUGUCGCGUCUGCUGUGAAAGACCGGGGCUUAACCCCGGUUCUGCAGUGGAUACGGGCAUGCUAGAGGUAGGUAGGGGAGACUGGAAUUCCUGGUGUAGCGGUGAAAUGCGCAGAUAUCAGGAGGAACACCGGUGGCGAAGGCGGGUCUCUGGGCCUUACCUGACGCUGA